RNAcentral lists this long non-coding RNA (398 nucleotides) under Salvia miltiorrhiza (redroot sage). RNAcentral describes it as "long non-coding RNA (SMIL_LNC008829)". The record is from RNAcentral. Lineage: Eukaryota; Viridiplantae; Streptophyta; Magnoliopsida; Lamiales; Lamiaceae.
ACUUAAUUAGUUAGUUAGAUACCUACCACAUGGUACACCCGAUUGCUUAAGUACAUAAAUUCGUAUUUUACAGACCAUAUACUAAUGUGGUUUGAAAAUAAAGAAUUACUUACACCCCUAAAAAAUGAUAGCGAGGUUUAUCCAGCGUAAACUUUUGUACACUUCGGUAGCGACUCCAGAUUUCUCUUAUCAUAAAAAUAUAUAAAAUAGAAUAAAAUAAAAAGCUCACUGCACCAACAGAACGCAGAACGUAAGUUAUCUGAUUAUAAAAAAAAAAAAAAAACCUAAGUUAUCUCUGCAAAUUGUAAUUAUUUUUUUUUGUCGGAGUUUGAAAAUUGUAAAUUGAUAAAAUCGGAUGUUUUUGUUUUUUUAGAACACAGUAGAUAUGUUUAUUAGUA